This 492-nucleotide ribosomal RNA is filed under the name uncultured bacterium. RNAcentral's name for it is "partial 16S ribosomal RNA". It matches the Rfam family "Bacterial small subunit ribosomal RNA", at positions 29 to 507 of the family's 1533-position model. The record is from RNAcentral.
AGUGAACGCUGGCGGUAUGCCUAACACAUGCAAGUCGAACGGCAGCACAGUAAGAGCUUGCUCUUACGGGUGGCGAGUGGCGGACGGGUGAGGAAUACAUCGGAAUCUACUUUUUCUUGGGGGAUAACGUAGGGAAACUUACGCUAAUACCGCAUACGACCUACGGGUGAAAGCAGGGGAUCUUCGCACCUUGCGCGAUUGAAUGAGCCGAUGUCGGAUUAGCUAGUUGGCGGGGUAAAGGCCCACCAAGGCGACGAUCCGUAGCUGGUCUGAGAGGAUGAUCAGCCACACUGGAACUGAGACACGGUCCAGACUCCUACGGGAGGCAGCAGUGGGGAAUAUUGGACAAUGGGCGAAAGCCUGAUCCAGCCAUACCGCGUGGGUGAAGAAGGCCUUCGGGUUGUAAAGCCCUUUUGUUGGGAAAGAAAAGCAGCAGGUUAAUACCCCGCUGUUCUGACGGUACCAAAAGAAUAAGCACCGGCUAACUUCGUG